Molecule: ribosomal RNA, 454 nt
Filed under: uncultured bacterium
Lineage: Bacteria
Description: SSU rRNA
Rfam family: Bacterial small subunit ribosomal RNA
Source: RNAcentral
AGAGCGAACGCUGGCGGCAUGCUUAACACAUGCAAGUCGCACGGGCAGGGGAAACCCUGUCAGUGGCGGACGGGUGAGUAACGCGUAGGUAUCUAUCCUUGGGUGGGGGACAACCGUGGGAAACUACGGCUAAUACCGCAUGAUGACUGAGGUCCAAAGCUUGUGAGAGCGCCUGGGGCGGAGCCUGCGUACGAUUAGCUAGUUGGUGGGGUAAAGGCCUACCAAGGCUGCGAUCGUUAGCUGGUCUGAGAGGAUGAUCAGCCACAUUGGGACUGAGACACGGCCCAAACUCCUACGGGAGGCAGCAGUGGGGAAUAUUGGACAAUGGGCGCAAGCCUGAUCCAGCAAUGCCGCGUGUGUGAAGAAGGUCUUCGGAUUGUAAAGCACUUUCGACGGGGACGAUGAUGACGGUACCCGUAGAAGAAGCCCCGGCUAACUUCGCGCCAGCAGCCGC